RNAcentral lists this ribosomal RNA (497 nucleotides) under uncultured bacterium. RNAcentral describes it as "partial 16S ribosomal RNA". It matches the Rfam family "Bacterial small subunit ribosomal RNA", at positions 28 to 507 of the family's 1533-position model. The record is from RNAcentral.
GAUGAACGCUGGCGGCGUGCCUAAUACAUGCAAGUCGAGCGGACGGACGCGAAGCUUGCUUCUUUGUCGUUUGCGGAGGGCGGGAGUGUAACGCGUGGAUAACCUACUUAUAUGACUGGGAUAAUUUCGGGAAACCGGAGCUUAUACCGGAUAAUAUUUUGAACCGCAUGGUUCAAUGGUGAAAGACGGCGUUGCUGUCUCUUAUAGCUGGUUCCGCGCUGCAUUAGGUAGUUGGUACGGUACCAGCUUACCACGGCGACGAUGCGUAGCCGACGGGAGAGGGUGGUCGGCCACACGGGAACUUAAACACGGUCCAGACUCCUACGGGAGGCAGCAGUAGGGAAUCGUCCGCAAUGGGCGGAAGCCUGACAGAGCAAGGCCGCGUGAGUGAUGAAGGUCUUCGGAUCGUAAAACUCUGUUACUAGGGAAAAACAGAUGUGUCAGGAACUGUGCACAGCGUGACGGUACCUAGUCAGAAAGCCACGGCUAACUACGUG